This 253-nucleotide ribosomal RNA is filed under the name uncultured bacterium. RNAcentral describes it as "partial 16S ribosomal RNA". It matches the Rfam family "Bacterial small subunit ribosomal RNA", at positions 524 to 776 of the family's 1533-position model. The record is from RNAcentral.
UACAGAGGUGGCAAGCGUUGUUCGGAAUUACUGGGCGUAAAGGGCUCGUAGGCGGCCAACUAAGUCAGACGUGAAAUCCCUCGGCUUAACCGGGGAACUGCGUCUGAUACUGGAUGGCUUGAGAUUGGGAGAGGGAUGCGGAAUUCCAGGUGUAGCGGUGAAAUGCGUAGAUAUCUGGAGGAACACCGGUGGCGAAGGCGGCAUCCUGGACCAACACUGACGCUGAGGAGCGAAAGCCAGGGGAGCAAACGGG